GGGAACUGUGAGACAGGUGCUGCAUGGCUGUCGUCAGCUCGUGUUGUGAAAUGUUGGGUUAAGUCCCGCAACGAGCGCAACCCUUAUCCUUUGUUGCCAGCGGUCCGGCCGGGAACUCAAAGGAGACUGCCAGUGAUAAACUGGAGGAAGGUGGGGAUGACGUCAAGUCAUCAUGGCCCUUACGACCAGGGCUACACACGUGCUACAAUGGCGCAUACAAAGAGAAGCGACCUCGCGAGAGCAAGCGGACCUCAUAAAGUGCGUCGUAGUCCGGAUUGGAGUCUGCAACUCGACUCCAUGAAGUCGGAAUCGCUAGUAAUCGUGGAUCAGAAUGCCACGGUGAAUACGUUCCCGGGCCUU
This 360-nucleotide ribosomal RNA is filed under the name uncultured Enterobacteriaceae bacterium. RNAcentral describes it as "bacterial SSU rRNA". It matches the Rfam family "Bacterial small subunit ribosomal RNA", at positions 1022 to 1382 of the family's 1533-position model. The record is from RNAcentral. Lineage: Bacteria; Pseudomonadati; Pseudomonadota; Gammaproteobacteria; Enterobacterales; Enterobacteriaceae.